GAUGAACGCUGGCGGCGUGCCUAACACAUGCAAGUCGAACGGAGCUGCUUUGAUGAAGUUUUCGGAUGGAUUUAAAACAGCUUAGUGGCGGACGGGUGAGUAACGCGUGGGUAACCUGCCUCACACUGGGGGAUAACAGUUAGAAAUAGCUGCUAAUACCGCAUAAGCGCACGGUUCCGCAUGGAACAGUGUGAAAAACUCCGGUGGUGUGAGAUGGACCCGCGUCUGAUUAGCCAGUUGGCGGGGUAACGGCCCACCAAAGCGACGAUCAGUAGCCGGCCUGAGAGGGUGAACGGCCACAUUGGGACUGAGACACGGCCCAAACUCCUACGGGAGGCAGCAGUGGGGAAUAUUGCACAAUGGGGGAAACCCUGAUGCAGCGACGCCGCGUGAGUGAAGAAGUAUUUCGGUAUGUAAAGCUCUAUCAGCAGGGAAGAAAGUGACGGUACCUGAAUAAGAAGCCCCGGCUAACUACGUGCCAGCAGCCGCGGUAAUACGUAGGGGGCAAGCGUUAUCCGGAUUUACUGGGUGUAAAGGGAGCGUAGACGGCAAGGCAAGUCUGAAGUGAAAGCCCGGUGCUUAACGCCGGGACUGCUUUGGAAACUGUUUGGCUGGAGUGCCGGAGAGGUAAGCGGAAUUCCUAGUGUAGCGGUGAAAUGCGUAGAUAUUAGGAAGAACACCAGUGGCGAAGGCGGCUUACUGGACGGUAACUGACGUUGAGGCUCGAAAGCGUGGGGAGCAAACAGGAUUAGAUACCCUGGUAGUCCACGCCGUAAACGAUG
This 782-nucleotide ribosomal RNA is filed under the name uncultured bacterium. RNAcentral's name for it is "bacterial SSU rRNA". It matches the Rfam family "Bacterial small subunit ribosomal RNA", at positions 28 to 811 of the family's 1533-position model. The record is from RNAcentral.